GGGGACGUAGCUCAGCUGGAAGAGCACCUGCUUUGCAAGCAGGGGGUCACGGGUUCGAGUCCCGUCGUCUCCA
RNAcentral lists this transfer RNA (73 nucleotides) under Actinomycetota bacterium. RNAcentral's name for it is "tRNA-Ala". It matches the Rfam family "tRNA". From Rfam's summary of the family: Transfer RNA (tRNA) molecules are approximately 80 nucleotides in length. Their secondary structure includes four short double-helical elements and three loops (D, anti-codon, and T loops). The record is from RNAcentral. Lineage: Bacteria; Bacillati; Actinomycetota.